ACUGUCUCGACUAUUGAUUUUUGGGGGUCUUUUCCGGUUUGAAUGGAGGUGUACGUUUGUUUGCUUGGAUUUUCAGCGUUCCUUUGUUUUUUUAGGAACAGUAACCAUUUACUGAACCAUUUACCGAACCAUAAUUUGAAGUUCUAUAAAAACAACGGUCCGAACUAAAUUAAUGAACAAUGAUUUCAAUAAUUACAAGGACAACAAUUACGACAUAAAGAGGGUUGACGAUAAUGACGAGGACAAAGAACAACCAUUUUAAACGACAUGAAAUACAAAAUCCUAAAUGUCGUAUGCCGGUUGUCGGAUACCAGACAAUCCAUUAGACAAGUCUGACUAACUUCGGCAAAACGUCGAGACUGCACAGAACUUCGGCAAAACGUCGAGACUGCACAGAACUUCGACAAAAAUAUGACACGAAUAGGAGAUGACAAACGAAGAGUAAGAGAUGACAAGAAAAAUAGAGAAAC
This 470-nucleotide long non-coding RNA is filed under the name Zostera marina. RNAcentral describes it as "long non-coding RNA (ZMAR_LNC005779)". Lineage: Eukaryota; Viridiplantae; Streptophyta; Magnoliopsida; Alismatales; Zosteraceae. The record is from RNAcentral.